RNAcentral lists this ribosomal RNA (354 nucleotides) under uncultured bacterium. RNAcentral's name for it is "bacterial SSU rRNA". It matches the Rfam family "Bacterial small subunit ribosomal RNA", at positions 29 to 410 of the family's 1533-position model. The record is from RNAcentral.
AACGAACGCUGGCGGCAUGCCUAACACAUGCAAGUCGAACGAGACCUUCGGGUCUAGUGGCGCACGGGUGCGUAACGCGUGGGAACCUGCCUUUAGGUUCGGAAUAACUCAGAGAAAUUUGAGCUAAUACCGGAUAAUGUCUUCGGACCAAAGAUUUAUCGCCUUUAGAUGGGCCCGCGUUGGAUUAGCUAGUUGGUGGGGUAAAGGCCUACCAAGGCGACGAUCCUUAGCUGGUCUGAGAGGAUGAUCAGCCACACUGGGACUGAGACACGGCCCAGACUCCUACGGGAGGCAGCAGUGGGGAAUAUUGGACAAUGGGCGAAAGCCUGAUCCAGCAAUGUCGCGUGCAGGAUG